RNAcentral lists this ribosomal RNA (421 nucleotides) under uncultured bacterium. Its description in RNAcentral is "bacterial SSU rRNA". It matches the Rfam family "Bacterial small subunit ribosomal RNA", at positions 356 to 774 of the family's 1533-position model. The record is from RNAcentral.
GAGGAAUAUUGGGCAAUGCCCGCAAGGGUGACCCAGCAACGCCGCGUGGAGGAUGAAUGUCGUAAGAUUGUAAACUCCUGUUAGAGGGGAAGAAUAGUACCGGUUGGACCGGUAUAUGACUGUACCCUCAGAGAAAGCCCCGGCUAACUACGUGCCAGCAGCCGCGGUAAUACGUAGGGGGCAAGCGUUGUCCGGAUUUACUGGGUGUAAAGGGCGCGCAGGCGGGAUAAAAAGUCAGUGGUGAAAUCCUACAGCUUAACUGUAGAACUGCCUUUGAUACUUUUAUUCUUGAGUUCGGGAGAGAGAGACGGAAUUCCAGGUGUAGUGGUGAAAUACGUAGAUAUCUGGAAGAACACCGGUUGCGAAGGCGGUCUCUUGGUCCGACACUGACGCUGAGGCGCGAAAGCGUGGGGAGCAAACA